RNAcentral lists this ribosomal RNA (301 nucleotides) under uncultured bacterium. RNAcentral's name for it is "partial 16S ribosomal RNA". It matches the Rfam family "Bacterial small subunit ribosomal RNA", at positions 509 to 808 of the family's 1533-position model. The record is from RNAcentral.
CAGUGCCACGGGAAUACGAAGGGGGCUAGCGUUGUUCGGAUUUACUGGGCGUAAAGGGCGCGUAGGCGGACUGAUAAGUCAGGGGUGAAAUCCCAAGGCUCAACCUUGGAACUGCCUUUGAUACUGUUUGUCUUGAGUUCGAGAGAGGUAAGUGGAACUGCGAGUGUAGAGGUGAAAUUCGUAGAUAUUCGCAAGAACACCAGUGGCGAAGGCGGCUUACUGGCUCGAAACUGACGCUGAGGCGCGAAAGCGUGGGGAGCAAACAGGAUUAGAUACCCCAGUAGUCCCUGUCUCUUAUACA